AUGAACGCUGGCGGCGUGCUUAAUACAUGCAAGUCGAACGAGGGACUUUUGUCUUCGGAUGGAGGUUUCCUAGUGGCGAACGGGUGAGUAACGCGUUGGUGACCUGCCCCGAAGUGGGGGAUAACAGUUCGAAAGGACUGCUAAUACCUCAUGAUAUCAAUUGGACUAGAUACCUUUUGAUCAAAGGCGAAAGCCGCUUUGGGAGGGGCCUGCGUCCCAUCAGCUUGUUGGUAGGGUAAUGGCCUACCAAGGCUAAGACGGGUAGGGGACCUAAGAGGGUGACCCCCCACACUGGCACUGAAACACGGGCCAGGCACCUACGGGUGGCAGCAGUAGGGAAUUUUGGACAAGGGGCGAAAGCCUGAUCCAGCAACGCCGCGUGCGCGAUGAAGGCCUUCGGGUUGUAAAGCGCUUUUAGAGGAGAUGAGAAAGGACAGUAUCCUCUGAAUAAGCCUCGGCGAACUACGU
Molecule: ribosomal RNA, 468 nt
Filed under: uncultured bacterium
Lineage: Bacteria
Description: bacterial SSU rRNA
Rfam family: Bacterial small subunit ribosomal RNA
Source: RNAcentral